GCCGCUUAAGCAUUGAUGGCGAUGCAGCUCGCUCGUAACGAGACGACACAAGGUUCGAAUCCUUGAGGCGGCACCA
Molecule: transfer RNA, 76 nt
Filed under: Pseudomonas ekonensis
Lineage: Bacteria; Pseudomonadati; Pseudomonadota; Gammaproteobacteria; Pseudomonadales; Pseudomonadaceae
Description: tRNA-Thr
Rfam family: tRNA
About the family: Transfer RNA (tRNA) molecules are approximately 80 nucleotides in length.
Source: RNAcentral